UCACUAUCAAACCCAAUUGCCAAAGUUACUAGGGAGGGAGGAAUCUUCUUUUUCUCAUUGCUCUAUUGGGUCUCCAGGGUGCCUAGGAAGGUGCAUUUCUUUGUGUGGUUAGCAACUAUGGGAGCGAUUUUGGCCGUAGAAAAUCUAAGGAAUCGGAGGAUCACCUAUAUUAGUUGGUUCUUCAUGGGCAGAUGUUCAGGCGGAGAUGUUAAUCAUCUCCUAUUGCAUUGUAAAGUGGCUACUCAAUCGUGGUUUGUGGCCCUUAACUGAUUGGAGUAUAAUUGUGAUGCCGACACAGUGAAGGAGGCUUUUCAAAGUUGGGCUCUCAGAUCGCGGAAGAGGAGUCCACGGGCAUGGAUUGUUUCUCCAUUAGCCAUUAUGUUGGUUACAGGGAUAUAGAAAAAUUGGAGAUUUUUUGAAGGGGUUGAAUAAGAUAUCAUAAGAUUGCAAAACAAUCUUUUGUACCUAGCUUCUUUUUGGUGCACUCAUGAAGUUCCUCUUUUGUAUAGAAGAUUGAGUUUCUUUCGCAGAGAACCAUAUUUUGGUGUAGGUUUUCUACUUUUUUUGGCUAUACAACUUGCAUAUGGGGUAUUAUUGUAUUAUUUGCCUUGUAAAGAUCAAAUGUCUGGUAUGUUUAAGGUAACAAGUUUCAAAAGUUUUAUAGCCACACAAAUGUUCCAGCAUGUUUAAUACUACUAGUUCAAAAGUCUUCAUUUCUUUCUUAAAUUCCGUACCGAUUCAAACUAUGUCAUAUAAAUUGGAAUGUAGGGAGCAUUCGGUUCCGGAAGUGCAUUAAGAAAACUUAUUAACUUCUUCUCAGGCUUAACAAAUCCCUUUAGCCAGAUUGCACUCAGCAGGCAAUUAAAUGAGUCUCCUUCUCUUUUAUUGCUCAAGUCCUUAAGAGUUAUAUUCAGACGGGCUAUUCAAAAUAUUUAUUGAUGAUAUUACCUUUCCCUGGAUAGGUGAAGAGAUGUUCAAUUUCACCUCUCUUAUAGCCUCUCUCACAGUUACUUCAAUUCUUUUUCUGGAUAGCCUUGGGUACCACAUAUCCUUUCUGUCAAAGCUAGUGUUGUAGAUAUAUCAACGGCUAUUGGGGAAAUAUCUUUUAAUCUACCUGGAUAAUAAGCCCAAUCAAACAGAAGAGAUUAGAGAAAUGAGUACAAAGAUGAGAAAUUCAUUGGUUAUGCCUGAAGCUUGUUAGGUUUAACUCAUUUAAUAUGUUUUGGACUUUUUUCAUAUACUUGAAUUCAUAAAAUGUUUCGUUUGGAUGGAAUUCAUGCAUGUGUU
RNAcentral lists this long non-coding RNA (1287 nucleotides) under Solanum tuberosum (potato). Its description in RNAcentral is "long non-coding RNA (STUB_LNC009808)". The record is from RNAcentral. Lineage: Eukaryota; Viridiplantae; Streptophyta; Magnoliopsida; Solanales; Solanaceae.